This 602-nucleotide ribosomal RNA is filed under the name Clostridioides difficile. RNAcentral's name for it is "bacterial LSU rRNA". It matches the Rfam family "Bacterial large subunit ribosomal RNA", at positions 764 to 1374 of the family's 2925-position model. The record is from RNAcentral. Lineage: Bacteria; Bacillati; Bacillota; Clostridia; Peptostreptococcales; Peptostreptococcaceae.
UCGUGGAGGUCCGAACCCACGAGCGUUGAAAAGCUCGGGGAUGACUUGUGGGUAGCGGUGAAAUUCCAAUCGAGCCCGGAGAUAGCUGGUUCUCCCCGAAAUAGCUUUAGGGCUAGCCUCAAGGUGAGAGAUACGGAGGUAGAGCACUGAAUGUCCUAGGGGGUAUUGCACCUACCGAAGACUAUCAAACUCCGAAUGCCGUCAUCUUAUACUUGGGAGUCAGACUGUGGGUGAUAAGAUUCAUAGUCGAAAGGGCAACAGCCCAGAUCGUCAGCUAAGGUCCCUAAAUGUAAGUUAAGUGGUAAAGGAUGUGGGAUUGCACAGACAACCAGGAUGUUGGCUUAGAAGCAGCCACUCAUUCAAAGAGUGCGUAAUAGCUCACUGGUCGAGUGAUCCUGCGCCGAAGAUUUCCGGGGCUAAAACUUACUACCGAAGCUACGGCAUCAGUAAUGAUGGGUAGGGGAGCGUCCCAUACGGGUUGAAGCAUGACCGUAAGGACAUGUGGACAGUAUGGGAGUGAGAAUGUUGGCAUGAGUAGCGAGAUGUGGGUGAGAAUCCCACAGGCCGUAAACCCAAGGUUUCCAGGGGAAGGUUCGUCCGCC